UGCUAAUGAUGAUUAAAUUUUAUCAUCAUCUUUCGUCUGAUAAUUAGUGAUGUAUUCUUUUAAACUGAUUGCAGCA
Molecule: small nucleolar RNA, 76 nt
Organism: Adelges cooleyi (spruce gall adelgid)
Lineage: Eukaryota; Metazoa; Arthropoda; Insecta; Hemiptera; Adelgidae
Source: RefSeq, a predicted model, not a curated record